This 209-nucleotide ribosomal RNA is filed under the name uncultured bacterium. RNAcentral's name for it is "partial 16S ribosomal RNA". It matches the Rfam family "Bacterial small subunit ribosomal RNA", at positions 568 to 774 of the family's 1533-position model. The record is from RNAcentral.
UGCGUAGGUGGCAUGGCAAGUUUGAUGUGAAAGCUCAGGGCUUAACCCUGAAAUGGCAUUGAAUACUGCUGGGCUGGAGGUUUGGAGGGGGGACUGGAAUUCUUGGUGUAGCAGUGAAAUGCGUAGAUAUCAAGAGGAACACCAGUGGCGAAGGCGAGUCCCUGGACAACACCUGACACUGAGGCACGAAAGGCCCGGGGGAGCAAACA